ACUCCUGCGGGAGGCAGCAGUGGGGAAUUUUGGACAAUGGGCGAAAGCCUGAUCCAGCAAUGCCGCGUGAGUGAAGAAGGCCUUCGGGUUGUAAAGCUCUUUUGUCAGGGAAGAAACGGUGAAAGCUACUAUCUUUUGCUAAUGACGGUACCUGAAGAAUAAGCACCGGCUAACUACGUGCCAGCAGCCGCGGUAAUACGUAGGGUGCAAGCGUUAAUCGGAAUUACUGGGCGUAAAGCGUGCGCAGGCGGUUUUGUAAGUCUGAUGUGAAAUCCCCGGGCUCAACCUGGGAAUUGCAUUGGAGACUGCAAGGCUAGAAUCUGGCAGAGGGGGGUAGAAUUCCACGUGUAGCAGUGAAAUGCGUAGAUAUGUGGAGGAACACCGAUGGCGAAGGCAGCCCCCUGGGUCAAGAUUGACGCUCAUGCACGAAAGCGUGGGGAGCAAACAGGAUUAGAAACCCGAGUAGUCC
This 469-nucleotide ribosomal RNA is filed under the name uncultured organism. RNAcentral's name for it is "partial 16S ribosomal RNA". It matches the Rfam family "Bacterial small subunit ribosomal RNA", at positions 335 to 796 of the family's 1533-position model. The record is from RNAcentral.